RNAcentral lists this ribosomal RNA (404 nucleotides) under uncultured bacterium. Its description in RNAcentral is "bacterial SSU rRNA". It matches the Rfam family "Bacterial small subunit ribosomal RNA", at positions 355 to 775 of the family's 1533-position model. The record is from RNAcentral.
UAGGGAAUAUUGGUUAAUGUGCGAAAGCGCGAACCAGCAACGCCGCGUGUGCGAUGAAGGCCUUCGGGUCGUAAAGCACUUUUUGCAGGGACGAGGAAGGACGGUACCUGCAGAAUAAGUCUCGGCUAACUACGUGCCAGCAGCCGCGGUAAAACGUAGGAGACGAGCGUUAUCCGGAUUUACUGGGCGUAAAGCGCGUGCAGGCGGCAUGGCAAGUUGGAUGUGAAAGCUCCCGGCUUAACUGGGAGAGGUCGUUCAAUACUGCCAGGCUUGAGAGUGGUGGAGGGAAGCGGAAUUCCGGGUGUAGUGGUGAAAUGCGUAGAUAUCCGGAGGAACACCAGUGGCGAAAGCGGCUUCCUGGCCCAUUUCUGACGCUCAGACGCGAAAGCCAGGGUAGCAAACGG